Molecule: ribosomal RNA, 312 nt
Filed under: Triticum aestivum (bread wheat)
Lineage: Eukaryota; Viridiplantae; Streptophyta; Magnoliopsida; Poales; Poaceae
Description: partial small subunit ribosomal RNA
Source: RNAcentral
AUGAAGAAGUUCGUGAAUCAUUGUCGCAAGCUGGUAGGGCUGCUUUGGUGUGCUGGAGCUGGGUCGGUUGAAGCUCAUCAGCCUGUAGCCACACAGGGUCACAUCGCCUUAUCGAGCCAUGCUCCCUCGUCGUCUAGGUUGGUUGAGGAGGAGGAGGAGGAGGAGGAGGAGAAGGCCACACAUGAAGAAAGGGAGGAGGAGGAUGAGAGUAACGGGGAGGAGGACUACGAUGAAGAUUGUGGACCUCCAACAACUCAACAUCUCAAGCACCUCAGCUGCCGAAGAGGAAUCCGAAGAAGAAGGAUUUGCUGA